AGCACUUCUUAAACCAUAUUCUUUUAAAGUAAAUUAAUCACUGUAGUUGCUAGUAUCAAAAUACCUCGUUUUUACUUCUGUAAAACUUCAGUGAAUGAAAAUCGAAAUUAUGUCCAAAGGUGAAGUCAAACAUUUCCAGCCUAUAAAGACUCGUCUUGCUGCUGGAAAGAAGCCAGGGCAUGUGUCCGUGUUUACCUCACAGGCACUGGGUCGCACGCUCCUUUCACGCUGAUGUCAGAUUGGCAUGACACAUGGUAGGCACUUAACAUCACAUCACGGGGCAAAAACCUCCUAAGCGUUCGACCAGCGCAAGCGUGUUAAAGCUUGUAGAGGUGGAGCGGUCCACCUCAUCUGCUCUCUGCCAGAGCCAGUGUGUGUGAUAAAUGAGAGGAGGCCCGGUCUGCUUACUGAUGCACAGGAGAUACCGAACCAGCCCCCCCCACUCCUUACCACCCCUCCAUCCACCUCCUCUUCCUCCAUCUUUCAGCUUC
Molecule: long non-coding RNA, 491 nt
Organism: Sinocyclocheilus anshuiensis
Lineage: Eukaryota; Metazoa; Chordata; Actinopteri; Cypriniformes; Cyprinidae
Exons: 4
Source: RefSeq, a predicted model, not a curated record